This 550-nucleotide ribosomal RNA is filed under the name uncultured bacterium. RNAcentral describes it as "bacterial SSU rRNA". It matches the Rfam family "Bacterial small subunit ribosomal RNA", at positions 355 to 896 of the family's 1533-position model. The record is from RNAcentral.
UGAGGAAUAUUGCGCAAUGGGGGAAACCCUGACGCAGCGACGCCGCGUGGAUGAUGAAGGCCCUUGGGUCGUAAAAUCCUGUCAGUUGGGAAGAAAUGCAUAUUGGCUAAUACCCAUUAUGUUUGACGGUACCAGCAAAGGAAGCACCGGCUAACUCCGUGCCAGCAGCCGCGGUAAUACGGAGGGUGCAAGCGUUGUUCGGAAUUACUGGGCGUAAAGCGCACGUAGGUGGUCUAUUAAGUCAGAUGUGAAAGUCCCUGGCUCAACUGGGGAAGUGCAUAUGAAACUGGUAGACUUGAGUACUGGAGGGGGAAGUGGAAUUCCCGGUGUAGAGGUGAAAUUCGUAGAUAUCGGGAGGAAUACCGGUGGCGAAGGCGACUUCCUGGCCAGAUACUGACACUGAGGUGCGAAAGCGUGGGUAGCAAACAGGAUUAGAUACCCUGGUAGUCCACGCCGUAAACGAUGUCAACUAGGUGUUGGGAGGAAUAUCCUCUCAUUGCCGCAGCUAACGCAUUAAGUUGACCGCCUGGGGAGUACGGUCGCAAGAUUA